AUACGGAGGGUGCAAGCGUUAAUCGGAAUUACUGGGCGUAAAGCGUACGAAGGCGGUUUGUUAAGUUAGAUGUGAAAGCCCCGGGCUUAACCUGGGAACUGCAUUUAAAACUGGCAAACUAGAGUUGAGUAGAGGGGAGUGGAAUUUCAGGUGUAGCGGUGAAAUGCGUAGAGAUCUGAAGGAACACCAGUGGCGAAGGCGACUCCCUGGACUCGAACUGACGCUGAGGUACGAAAGCGUGGGUAGCAAACGGGAUUAGAAACCCUUGUAGUCCC
Molecule: ribosomal RNA, 275 nt
Filed under: uncultured bacterium
Lineage: Bacteria
Description: partial 16S ribosomal RNA
Rfam family: Bacterial small subunit ribosomal RNA
Source: RNAcentral